RNAcentral lists this ribosomal RNA (523 nucleotides) under uncultured bacterium. RNAcentral describes it as "partial 16S ribosomal RNA". It matches the Rfam family "Bacterial small subunit ribosomal RNA", at positions 355 to 873 of the family's 1533-position model. The record is from RNAcentral.
UGGGGAAUAUUGCACAAUGGGCGCAAGCCUGAUGCAGCCAUGCCGCGUGUGUGAAGAAGGCCUUCGGUUGUAAAGCACUUUCAGCGAGGAGGAAGGUGGUGAGCUUAAUACGCUCAUCAAUUGACGUUACUCGCAGAAGAAGCACCGGCUAACUCCGUGCCAGCAGCCGCGGUAAUACGGAGGGUGCAAGCGUUAAUCGGAAUUACUGGGCGUAAAGCGCACGCAGGCGGUUUGUUAAGUCAGAUGUGAAAUCCCCGGGCUCAACCUGGGAACUGCAUUUGAAACUGGCAAGCUAGAGUCUCGUAGAGGGGGGUAGAAUUCCAGGUGUAGCGGUGAAAUGCGUAGAGAUCUGGAGGAAUACCGGUGGCGAAGGCGGCCCCCUGGACGAAGACUGACGCUCAGGUGCGAAAGCGUGGGGAGCAAACAGAUUAGAUACCCUGGUAGUCCACGCUGUAAACGAUGUCGAUUUUGGAGGUUGUGCCCUNAGGCGUGGNUUCCGAGCUAACGNGUUAAAUCGACCGCC